GACGAACGCUGGCGGCGUGCUUAACACAUGCAAGUCGAGCGGAGCGGCGAACGGGUGAGUAACGCGUGAGUAACUGCCCCCCUCUCUGGGAUCACAGUUGGAAACGGCUGCUAAUACCGGAUAGUGGGGGAUGACUCGCGUGCUAUCAGCUUGUUGGGUGGGUAGUGGCCUACCAAGGCGACGACGGGUAGCCGGCCUGAGAGGGCGACCGGCCACAUGGGGCUGAGAUACGGCCCAAACGCCAACGGGAGGCAGCAGAGGGGAGUAUUGCACAGUGAGGCAAACCCUGAUGAUGCAACGCCGCGGGCGGGAGGACGGGCUUCGAGAUGUAAACAGCUUUCAGCGAUGACGCGGUAGUGGCAGAAGAAGCACCGGCUAACUACGUGCCAGCAGCCGCGGUAAUAC
RNAcentral lists this ribosomal RNA (405 nucleotides) under uncultured bacterium. RNAcentral describes it as "partial 16S ribosomal RNA". It matches the Rfam family "Bacterial small subunit ribosomal RNA", at positions 28 to 526 of the family's 1533-position model. The record is from RNAcentral.